RNAcentral lists this transfer RNA (71 nucleotides) under Thaumetopoea pityocampa (pine processionary moth). RNAcentral's name for it is "transfer RNA-Leu". Lineage: Eukaryota; Metazoa; Arthropoda; Insecta; Lepidoptera; Notodontidae. The record is from RNAcentral.
ACUAUUUUGGCAGAAAAGUGUAAUGAUUUUAGAAGUCAUGAAUAUAUGAUUGAUUUAUUAUAUAGGUAGUA